ACCUGGCUGGCUCAGUGGGAAGUGUGCACGACUGUUGAUCUUGGGGUUGUGAGUUCGAGCCCCGUGCUGGGUG
Molecule: transfer RNA, 73 nt
Filed under: Ailuropoda melanoleuca (giant panda)
Lineage: Eukaryota; Metazoa; Chordata; Mammalia; Carnivora; Ursidae
Rfam family: tRNA
About the family: Transfer RNA (tRNA) molecules are approximately 80 nucleotides in length. Their secondary structure includes four short double-helical elements and three loops (D, anti-codon, and T loops).
Source: Rfam by way of RNAcentral